GGAUGAGGUCAGAGGUCAGUAUAUACUGUAGAUAAAGGGUUAGGGGUUUAGGUCAGUAUAUACUGUAGAUAAAGGGUUAGGGGUUAAGGUCAGAGGUCAGUAUAUACUGUAGAUAAAGGGUUAGGGGUUAAGGUCAGAGGUCAGUAUAUACUGUAGAUAAAGGGUUAGGGGUUUAGGUCAGUAUAUACUGUAGAUAAAGGGUUAAGGGUUAAGGUCAGAGGUCAGUAUAUACUGUAGAUAAAGGGUUAGGGGUUUAGGUCAGUAUAAACUGUAGAUAAAGGGUUAAGGGUUAAGGUCAGAGGUCAGUAUAUACUGUAGAUAAAGGGUCAGGAGUUUAGGUCAGCAUAAACUGUA
Long non-coding RNA from Esox lucius (northern pike), 354 nucleotides. Lineage: Eukaryota; Metazoa; Chordata; Actinopteri; Esociformes; Esocidae. The record is from Ensembl.